CCAGCGCUGACUGCGCCGCGGAGAAAGCCAGUGGGAACCCAGACCCAUUGGACACCCGCGUCCCCGCUCGGCCUGGCCAGGCCCCGCGCUAUGGAGUUCCUCUGGGCCCCUCUCUUGGGUCUGUGCUGCAGUCUGGCCGCUGCUGAUCGCCACACCGUCUUCUGGAACAGUUCAAAUCCCAAGUUCCGGAAUGAGGACUACACCAUACAUGUGCAGCUGAAUGACUACGUGGACAUCAUCUGUCCGCACUAUGAGGAUCACUCUGUGGCAGAUGCUGCCAUGGAGCAGUACAUACUGUACCUGGUGGAGCAUGAGGAGUACCAGCUGUGCCAGCCCCAGUCCAAGGACCAAGUCCGCUGGCAGUGCAACCGGCCCAGUGCCAAGCAUGGCCCGGAGAAGCUGUCUGAGAAGUUCCAGCGCUUCACACCUUUCACCCUGGGCAAGGAGUUCAAAGAAGGACACAGCUACUACUACAUCUCCAAACCCAUCCACCAGCAUGAAGACCGCUGCUUGAGGUUGAAGGUGACUGUCAGUGGCAAAAUCAGUGAGUGUCAGAGCCCUGUGGGCCUCCUUCCUCCAUCUCUAUGCUGGGUGCGGUCUAGUGAUCUAGGAUGGUAUAGAAGUCUUGCAGCCCAGCCCACUCAUACUUACAGCCCUCUGCCUCUUUGAUACAGUACCUGAUCUACUACCACUCUUGUCUUUCAGCUCACAGUCCUCAGGCCCAUGACAAUCCACAGGAGAAGAGACUUGCAGCAGAUGACCCAGAGGUGCGGGUUCUACAUAGCAUCGGUCACAGUGCUGCCCCACGCCUCUUCCCACUUGCCUGGACUGUGCUGCUCCUUCCACUUCUGCUGCUGCAAACCCCGUGAAGGUGUAUGCCACACCUGGCCUUAAAGAGGGACAGGCUGAAGAGAGGGACAGGCACUCCAAACCUGUCUUGGGGCCACUUUCAGAGCCCCCAGCCCUGGGAACCACUCCCACCACAGGCAUAAGCUAUCACCUAGCAGCCUCAAAACGGGUCAGUAUUAAGGGUUUCAACCGGAAGGAGGCCAACCAGCCCGGCAGUGCCAUCCCCACCUUCACCUCGGAGGGAUGGAGAAAGAAGUGGAGACAGUCCUUUCCCACCAUUCCUGCCUUUAAGCCAAAGAAACAAGCUGUGCAGACAUGGUCCCUUAAGGCACAGUGGGAGCUGAGCUGGAAGGGGCCACGUGGAUGGGCAAAGCUUGUCAAAGAUGCCCCCUCCAGGAGAGAGCCAGUAUGCCCAGAUGAACUGACUGAAGGAAAAGCA
This 1288-nucleotide small RNA is filed under the name Pan troglodytes (chimpanzee). RNAcentral describes it as "processed transcript". Lineage: Eukaryota; Metazoa; Chordata; Mammalia; Primates; Hominidae. The record is from RNAcentral.